Apis mellifera (honey bee) is the source of this 2074-nucleotide long non-coding RNA. RefSeq lists it as uncharacterized. The record is from RefSeq and is a predicted model, not a curated record. The transcript has 3 exons. NCBI's taxonomy places the organism in Eukaryota, Metazoa, Arthropoda, Insecta, Hymenoptera, Apidae.
GUGAUUUUAAGAUUGAAUAUAUUCUUGCAUUUAUAUCGAUAUUCAUCCAAGUCGUUUUCAAGUCGUUAGAUAUUUUCAUCAUAGACGUUACAGGUAUCAUUUCGAGUUGAUAAAACGUUGUCGAUCAAACGAUGAUACGCUAGGUCAGUGUUGAAAUUGAAUUCGUGCAGGAUCAAAGACCGUUGGGAAUGCGUUUCCCUCCAGACAGAACACCGCCACGAACACUAAUAUGGGCUUCGUUACCGAUGGACAACCACGACAAAUACUUGUUGCUAGAGACGUGUGUCGAACGAAUGACUGCUGCCGUUGCUCUCCAACAUUGUUUUCUGGUGGAAUUGUUGCGCUCGUGAGACAGAAUCAACUGUUCUACUUGUAAAAUAUUGAAAUUUAUCUUCGAUACCGCUGUUCCCACGCGAAUGAAUUCAGUUUUUUUUUUAUUAAUUAAAUCAAUGUUCUGAAUGAGAAUUAUCCGUGUAUCAUAAAAUUUGUAAGACUAUUUUUUUACGAAAAAUUUCAUUUAUAGGUUAUGAGUGAAUUAAAAUUUUUUUACUAUUAUUGUGAUGUGAAACAAUCGUGUAAUAUGAAGUUUUUAUAAAUAUAAUAAGGUUAUGGUGACGUAUCAAUCAUUAGGAGUGUUACAACACAGUUUAUUUUACUGUGAAGGCGUUAGUUAACUGGCACAUCUUCAGAGCGGCGCUCUUCGUUGCGGCGCUAACGAAACAUAAGGGGGAAAGAAAAAAAAAAAUAAAUAAAUAAAAAACUGUUUAUACCCAUCGAUCUUCGAGUUCUUCUUUAAGCAUUCUUCGGAGAGAAGCCAAUAUAAUCGUAAAAUGGAACGCAUACGUGCUACUAUACUCGUACGUUUUUUAUUAACUCUCAUAUCUUCGUACAACUUGAAAGAUUCACGAUAAUUGGCUAAGAAUUUCCUUAGCAACAACAACAACAACAACCUUUUCCUUCGUCUUCUGUAUGUUUACAUACCCAAGGAUAGUAGAUACGAUUCGACGAAUCCAUUAUUCGCUGUUUCUAUUGCCCUGAUGUUUGAGUUGGUGUCGAAUUUCAAGGUCGUUACGACGAUCACACUAACGUCGAAAUUUCAUGCCUCGCCGCAUGAUUCCAGAGGCGAAGCAAUUUCUCGAUUAUUUUUCUUCUUUUCAUAGAAUGUGUAUAUACAUAUAUUCUUUCUUUGGUAAAGCUACUCGAAUAAUAACUACAAUUACAAUUUUUCUUUUCUAUUAUAGAAAGAUGUUGAAACGGUUGCUGAUUAUAAGUAGACAUGAUACCAGAUGAAGCCUUGAAUCAUAUGGUGAGGAAAAACUGUAGGGGUCACUACAGGAAAUUGAUUUGUUUUGAUACACACCCUCGCGCACAUUCGACUUUAUCCCUUAACACAGGUCAUUCACUGACUUACUGAUCAAAGUUUGUUUGAUUUAUUUAUAUAUUUUAUGGAAUUCGUGUUGUAAUGUAAAUUAUUAAUGUUGAACAGUAAGUAGUUUUUUUUUAAAAUUUAUUAAAUUGAGCAAAUUAAAAUUUAGAUAGUUUGAAAACGGUAUCCAUAAUGGGAGAAAAAUUUAUUUUGCUUUUAAAAAAUUUUAUAAAUCAAAAAGAAUUCUUAUUGGCAGUGAAAUGAUGAAAAUAAUUAAUAGCCUGGACUUGCAAAUACGAUUAUAAAAGCCAAACGAAAAUAAAUGAGAAGGAAAUAUAAAUUAUUAUUAAAAUUUGAUCUAAUGUAACGUGAAACAAAAUUUAAUGAAACUUUUUAAAAAUUUCACUUUUUCAAAUAGUUGCAAGAAUUAAGAUAGUAUUUAUUUUUGAACGGCAUAUAAUGGGUAUAAUAAAUAUACUUAAUCGCUAAUCUACAUUAAUUUGAUACAAUUUAACAUAUUAUUUACUGUCAGUCGAUUAAUGUGUUUUAUAUCGCCCAUGUUUAUUGACCGAUAACCGAUAAUAAAUAAAUAGUCAUUCUGUUGAUUUUCGUUAUCGACUGAUAGAUUAUUAAUUUUCUUGAAUUUGUUAGAGGUGAUAGUAAAAAAUUAUUAAUAACCAGAAAGAUUAUUAAACAUGUUUUUAAAUA